CGGGACGGGUGAGUAACGCGUGGGUAACCUGCCUCAUACAGGGGGAUAACAGUUAGAAAUGACUGCUAAUACCGCAUAAGCGCACAAAACCGCAUGGUUUGGUGUGAAAAACUGAGGUGGUAUGAGAUGGACCCGCGUCUGAUUAGCUAGUUGGAGAGGUAACGGCUCACCAAGGCAACGAUCAGUAGCCGACCUGAGAGGGUGACCGGCCACAUUGGGACUGAGACACGGCCCAAACUCCUACGGGAGGCAGCAG
RNAcentral lists this ribosomal RNA (256 nucleotides) under uncultured bacterium. Its description in RNAcentral is "partial 16S ribosomal RNA". It matches the Rfam family "Bacterial small subunit ribosomal RNA", at positions 98 to 354 of the family's 1533-position model. The record is from RNAcentral.